This is a long non-coding RNA of Xiphophorus hellerii (green swordtail), 574 nucleotides long. RefSeq lists it as uncharacterized. Lineage: Eukaryota; Metazoa; Chordata; Actinopteri; Cyprinodontiformes; Poeciliidae. The transcript is spliced from 3 exons. The record is from RefSeq and is a predicted model, not a curated record.
CUUUGUCAUACGUUGUUGCAAUGACAUUAACAAAAGCCUUCUGAUUUUAUCUCAGUAAAGCAGACAGUAAGGUGGCGACAGGAUGUUUACAGAGCACACAGUAUGUUCUCAGUUCAAGAUAUUAAAGUUCAUUUCAAGCCAAUGACUAACAGAUAGCUCUCAUUUGUGUGUUUUGUGGCUUUAUAAGUGCCGGAUGUUUAAUGCUGAGCCAGAAGCAAAUUGACAUUCCUCUGCUGAUGUCCACCAACUCGGUUUACACACAAGAUACACGUUUAAUGAAAUAAUUAGAUGCUAUAAAACAAAGAUUGCUAGCUUUUCUCUACUGCUAUUUUUCACAUUAUCUUUGGUUUAGCAGACAACAAACUUCACUUUCAGAGGAUUAGUGGAGAAGUGCUUGUUGAAAGAUUUUUGUUUCUUAAAUUUAGAAGAUGAUUAGAUUAAAUUUUGUAAUUUUUUUACAAUAUUUGUGCAAAUCUAUGACGCUAAAUGUGACUUUUUAUUACUCGAUGUAUCGAUCACAGACUAUAACUUCACAUCAAGAAAGGCUGAGGCAGCAAACAAAUUAUUAGUUUUU